Cyanistes caeruleus (blue tit) is the source of this 943-nucleotide non-coding RNA. The record is from RefSeq and is a predicted model, not a curated record. Lineage: Eukaryota; Metazoa; Chordata; Aves; Passeriformes; Paridae.
CUGCAGCAUAGGAGCUGUUCUCAGUAUGGGGCUCUCUUCAGUUUUGGGUAGGAUCCUUUCUACAGAAUGGAGCUGAAGAAAACUAUUAGUUAAAUCUCAUUAAUGCUAUAAAUUGUCUGAAGGAGAUAAUAUGCCUCUGAAAAAUGCUCUUGGGUAGAUGUGCUCUGGUCUCACACUUGUGCUGAAGUUCAAGGCAAGAAUACCAGUAAGGCAGGACAGGAAUCACCCUGGACAUGUGUGUCCCAACCCCUGUAGCCACAACAGCACCCUGGUGGCUGCUUUCUCCACCUGCAUGUUUCUCAGCAUCUGCCUUUUGUGGCUCUCCAGUGGCUGCACUGUCACUUUAUUCCCUGUGAAGUUUGGUCCUUAACACAUCAGUGAAGCUCAGAGAGUUUUAUUCCCUGCUAGAAAAGUGUUCACUUGACAACCUUUAGGGAAACUGAAAUUAGUGAAUGCAUUUGAUGUCCACACUCAACUGCUGUUUCUUGGGAUGCUCCUUUUCUGUUUCAUGAGGGCCAUAUCCUGCAAUUGGGUCUGCUGUGGUGUGCAUACCAAUAUACUCAUUAUGUAUAUCCUUUUCUAUAUGGUUGUAUGUGUUGCUGACAAACCUUAUUUGCUCUAUAUGUUUUGGUUUUAAAUAUGACAGAAGAGAGAGAGCAUGACAAUUCUUGUAACCUUUGUUAGCUACUUGGUGUGUCUAAUUUUUGCAAAUAAGCUGGAUUACAGAAAGCAAAAUUUAACAUUUGGAUGUGCUCAAACUAAAAAUGUUAUGUCUUCUCAUUGGUAAGGCCCACUUUAUAGAGGCUGUACCUUGAGUUUCUCUACAGUUGAAGUCCACAGACAAUAAGCUCUUUUGUGUCCAAUCUGGCUGAAAUGCAUUGAAAAAGUUGUAUUCCUUUUCUGCUUCAUUAACCAAUGGAAUAAAAGGUUGCUGUUUAUAGCA